AACCAGCACCUCGAGUGGUCAGGAGGAUUAUUGGGCCUAAAGCAUCCGUAGCCGGCUUUGUUAGUUUUCGGUUAAAUCCAUGUGCUCAACGCAUGGGCUGCCGAAAAUACUGCAUAGCUAGGGAGUGGGAGAGGUAGACGGUACUCAGUAGGAAGGGGUAAAAUCCUUUGAUCUAUUGAUGACCACCUGUGGCGAAGGCGGUCUACCAGAACACGUUCGACGGUGAGGGAUGAAAGCUGGGGGAGCAAACCGG
Molecule: ribosomal RNA, 253 nt
Filed under: uncultured archaeon
Lineage: Archaea
Description: partial 16S ribosomal RNA
Rfam family: Archaeal small subunit ribosomal RNA
Source: RNAcentral